GCCUAACAUCUAGCCCACACCACCCACAUGAACCUUUUUUCCUACACCCCACGUACGCAACAAAACAUUUUAUCUCUUUAGUACAGGCGAUCGAAAAACUUAUAGGCGCUUCAGAUUAAGUACCGCAAGGGAAAGAUGAAAUAAAAAUGAAAUAAUUUUAAAGCCCCAAAUAGCAGAGAUAUACCCUCGUACCUUUUGCAUCAUGGUCUAGCUAGUCUAACCAAGCAAAAUGUGAACUUUAGUUUGACACCCCGAAACUAAGUGAGCUACUUCGAAACAGCCCUAAGGGGCCAACCCGUCUCUGUUGCAAAAGAGUGGGAAGAUUUUUAAGUAGAGGUGAUAAGCCUACCGAACUUAGAGAUAGCUGGUUAUUCAGGAGAAGAGUCUUAGCUCUGCCUUAAGUUUUUUAAUUAACUCAAACAAAUCUUUAAACUUAAGAGUUAUUCAAGUAAGGUUCAGCUUACUUGAAACAGGAUACAACCUCCAAUAUUGGGUAAAUAAAGGAAACCUAGAUAAAGUGGGCCUAAAAGCAGCCACCUUAUGAAAAGCGUUGAAGCUUAAUCACUGUUUCACCUAUAAUUUCUUGAUUCCUUAUUAACCCCUCACCCCUACUGAAUCAUUUUAUAACAUUAUAAAAAUUAUUAUGCUAGAACUAGUAACAAGAAACUGCCUUUUCUCCUGAAUGUCAGCCAGAACCGAAAUAAACCCUGUCGGUAUUUAACGUAAAUGCUUUAAAUAUAGUAACCCGCAACUAGAAAACCCUAUUAUUUUUAACGUCAACCUUACACCAGAACAUUACAGGAAAGAUAAAAGAAAGAGAAG
This 822-nucleotide ribosomal RNA is filed under the name Sanguirana luzonensis (Luzon frog). Its description in RNAcentral is "partial 16S ribosomal RNA". The stretch from base 207 to 651 matches the Rfam family "Bacterial large subunit ribosomal RNA", at positions 619 to 1301 of the family's 2925-position model. Lineage: Eukaryota; Metazoa; Chordata; Amphibia; Anura; Ranidae. The record is from RNAcentral.